GCACACAAGAUUGAUCUUUAAUUCCUAAAUAUAAACGGUUCAUUUCAGCUUUUAUAAUAUUGUGAAAUUAAUGGGAAAACCUCAAUAAUGCUAUAUGUUCAACAACAGGAAGGACAAUAUUGCCUACCUUAGUACCUUCCAACACACAGCUUUGUUUCCUUAUAAACUAAUACCAAUCUUACCUGAAUUUUGUCUGCCUUCACUUUUAAGGAAAAAGUGUUAAGAGAACUCUUCUAUUGCUACAAUAAGUUACCGAUUUUACCCAGUGAUUUACGAAUGUCUUGCAUGACAACAG
This is a non-coding RNA of Paramuricea clavata, 295 nucleotides long. The record is from the annotation of a GenBank genome assembly. NCBI's taxonomy places the organism in Eukaryota, Metazoa, Cnidaria, Anthozoa, Malacalcyonacea, Plexauridae.